Ficedula albicollis (Collared flycatcher) is the source of this 454-nucleotide long non-coding RNA. RefSeq lists it as uncharacterized. Lineage: Eukaryota; Metazoa; Chordata; Aves; Passeriformes; Muscicapidae. The record is from RefSeq and is a predicted model, not a curated record. The transcript has 3 exons.
CAGCAGGGUCCUGACCAUAGCACAUUCCCAGACUGAGUCCCCAGUGCUCUCCCUGCUCCCAGACCUGGUCUCAUGGGUGUCUGCAGCCUCCAGAGCUGCCCUGACUCGCUUGCAAAAGGCCCUUCUGCCUCCUGUGCUGGAGGCAAUAAUGCCUCUAGUGGGUACCAGUGGGACUGGUCACGUUUCCUGUGUCAUGUGCUGUCCAUGACGGAUGGCAGAGCCAGUUUUUCUGCUCCAAAAGUGGGACUGGGGAGGAGACCGCAACACUCAAAUACCCAGAGCCCUGCUUGCUGCCAGCCAGCCAUCGAGGAGAUCACUUCUUUUACAGCUCCAGGUCCUCUCUGUUCCGUAGGUGUGACUGUCUCGUGCCCCAGAGCUCUUUGGCUUUGGUAAAAUGUCAACAAUCCUGAAAUGGUUUGGGCGGGAAGAUAAGGAGAAAGAGGAGAAGGACAAG